This 492-nucleotide ribosomal RNA is filed under the name uncultured bacterium. RNAcentral's name for it is "partial 16S ribosomal RNA". It matches the Rfam family "Bacterial small subunit ribosomal RNA", at positions 29 to 507 of the family's 1533-position model. The record is from RNAcentral.
AGUGAACGCUGGCGGUAGGCCUAACACAUGCAAGUCGAACGGCAGCACAGUAAGAGCUUGCUCUUACGGGUGGCGAGUGGCGGACGGGUGGGGAAUACAUCGGAAUCUACUUUUUCGUGGGGGAUAACGUAGGGAAACUUACGCUAAUACCGCAUACGACCUACGGGUGAAAGCAGGGGAUCUUCGGACCUUGCGCGAUUGAAUGAGCCGAUGUCGGAUUAGCUAGUUGGCGGGGUAAAGGGCCACCAAGGCGACGAUCCGUAGCUGGUCUGAGAGGAUGAUCAGCCACACUGGAACUGAGACACGGUCCAGACUCCUACGGGAGGCAGCAGUGGGGAAUAUUGGACAAUGGGCGCAAGCCUGAUCCAGCCAUACCGCGUGGGUGAAGAAGGCCUUCGGGUUGUAAAGCCCUUUUGUUGGGAAAGAAAAGCAGCAGGUUAAUACCCCGCUGUUCUGACGGUACCCAAAGAAUAAGCACCGGCUAACUUCGUG